Molecule: ribosomal RNA, 253 nt
Filed under: uncultured bacterium
Lineage: Bacteria
Description: partial 16S ribosomal RNA
Rfam family: Bacterial small subunit ribosomal RNA
Source: RNAcentral
UACGUAGGGUGCAAGCGUUGUCCGGAAUUAUUGGUCGUAAAGAGCUCGUAGGCGGUUUGUUGCGUCGGCUGUGAAAUCCCGAGGCUCAACCUCGGGUCUGCAGUCGAUACGAGCAAACUAGAGUGUUGCAGGGGAGACUGGAAUUCCUGGUGUAGCGGUGAAAUGCGCAGAUAUCAGGAGGAACACCGGUGGCGAAGGCGGGUCUCUGGGCAACAACUGACGCUGAGGAGCGAAAGCGUUGGGAGCGAACAGG